UACGGAGGAGGCAAGCGUUAUCCGGAAUUAUUGGGCGUAAAGCGUCCGCAGGCGGCUCUUCAAGUCUGUCGUCAAAGACUGGGGCUUAACCCCGGAAAGGCGGUGGAAACUGAAGCGCUAGAGUGCGGUAGGGGUAGAGGGAAUUCCCGGUGUAGCGGUGAAAUGCGUAGAGAUCGGGAAGAACAUCGGUGGCGAAAGCGCUCUACUGGACCGCAACUGACACUCAGGGACGAAAGCUAGGGGAGCGAAUGGG
This 253-nucleotide ribosomal RNA is filed under the name uncultured bacterium. RNAcentral describes it as "partial 16S ribosomal RNA". It matches the Rfam family "Bacterial small subunit ribosomal RNA", at positions 524 to 776 of the family's 1533-position model. The record is from RNAcentral.